This 590-nucleotide ribosomal RNA is filed under the name Fusarium solani. Its description in RNAcentral is "eukaryotic LSU rRNA". The stretch from base 205 to 358 matches the Rfam family "5.8S ribosomal RNA". Lineage: Eukaryota; Fungi; Ascomycota; Sordariomycetes; Hypocreales; Nectriaceae. The record is from RNAcentral. RNAcentral also lists the same sequence under 1 other name.
GGAAGUAAAAGUCGUAACAAGGUCUCCGUUGGUGAACCAGCGGAGGGAUCAUUACCGAGUUAUUCAACUCAUCAACCCUGUGAACAUACCUAAACGUUGCUUCGGCGGGAACAGACGGCCCCGUGAAACGGGCCGCCCCCGCCAGAGGACCCCUAACUCUGUUUCUAUAAUGUUUCUUCUGAGUAAAACAAGCAAAUAAAUUAAAACUUUCAACAACGGAUCUCUUGGCUCUGGCAUCGAUGAAGAACGCAGCGAAAUGCGAUAAGUAAUGUGAAUUGCAGAAUUCAGUGAAUCAUCGAAUCUUUGAACGCACAUUGCGCCCGCCAGUAUUCUGGCGGGCAUGCCUGUUCGAGCGUCAUUACAACCCUCAGGCCCCCGGGCCUGGCGUUGGGGAUCGGCGGAGCCCCCCGUGGGCACACGCCGUCCCCCAAAUACAGUGGCGGUCCCGCCGCAGCUUCCAUCGCGUAGUAGCUAACACCUCGCGACUGGAGAGCGGCGCGGCCACGCCGUAAAACACCCAACUCUUCUGAAGUUGACCUCGAAUCAGGUAGGAAUACCCGCUGAACUUAAGCAUAUCAAUAAGCGGAGGA